Molecule: long non-coding RNA, 249 nt
Filed under: Elaeis guineensis (African oil palm)
Lineage: Eukaryota; Viridiplantae; Streptophyta; Magnoliopsida; Arecales; Arecaceae
Description: long non-coding RNA (EGUI_LNC070321)
Source: RNAcentral
CCUCCCUAUUUCAACAUCCAUCGUUUUGCAUCCCUUGCUUCCGAUAAUUGUUCUCCGAUGAUAUUCCAAUGACGACCUCCAUCCCACUCUCUGUUUCGGUCGAGUAGUGUCUCCUCCCUUGUGCAUGAGCAUGAUAGCCUCUUGAAUACCUUAUUUCCAUCCGUUGGUGAGCCCUACGUCUUCUUUUAUUGAUAAUAUAUCUUUUAACAAUUUAUUUUCCAUAUAAAAUCAUGAUUAUGAUGAUUAUUC